Molecule: long non-coding RNA, 1096 nt
Filed under: Pan troglodytes (chimpanzee)
Lineage: Eukaryota; Metazoa; Chordata; Mammalia; Primates; Hominidae
Description: lincRNA
Source: RNAcentral
ACAAUUAUACAGCAAAGUCUCCUGGGAGGGUUUAUAUGUUAAGCUCUGUCAGUAAUUUCUCCCCUAGCAAGAAUGAGGGAGAUGAAGAGCUCGGGUAUCUGAGGGCUGGUGUGUCUGCAUGCGUGUGUGUUUUGGGGGCCGACUGAAGGAAGAGAAGGCUGGAGAGAGGGAACAUGGGUCUGAGGGCACAUCGCUAAGGGGUCAAGAGGCCUAAAGGGGGAGUCUAAGGCUCUCCAUCGAACUUGGACUUGGUCUACAUUAGACUUUAACCUCCAUGAGGCUUGGACUUUCAGGCUUCCUCCCUCACACCGCGGGCAGGUGAGGCGUCUGCUACAGGCCUGGUCUCGCAGAGGGGGCCCAGCGCCCCCCGCCGCCGCCUUCUCCUGGAGUCUGUGUGACAGAAUGGGACCUGUGGGAAAGCAGCACGUCAGCACCCAGCCCCGCUUGCGCGCCAGCAGCUAAUUAAAGCCAGGAAGGUGAUGGCGAUUUUCAACUCAUUCCCGUUACAAACAGCCGACCUUCCUACCGAGUUCAAGUACCUUCUGCCUGGCCUGGAAGAACAAUAUCUCUCUGUCUCCCUCUUCCACUGGCCCUCACCUGCCUUCCCCUGAACAUGCAUUUUGCCUGACAGGAGGCAGAGGCAGUUGAGAUGGAGUCUUGCUAUAUGGCCCAGCUGGUAAUAAUGCCUAGAUUCUUGAGUCCCUCCCUGGCUCAUCCCUGGGAGCAGCACUGAACCUCAUGUCUGACACCUGUCUGGAAAUGGAGCCUGCACAUUGACCCUAGCCAUGUGUGGUCUUGUUACUAAGUGUUAGCCAGUGAAAUAACAUACAAGAGGAGGCCCAUGUUGAUUCAGAGGAUGAAUGAGAGGUGCUUGCAGCUUGGUCCAGGAGGCCAGCGGGACCAGACAGAAGACCACAGCGACACAUGGGGAUGGCUGUCCCACAGGCAGAAAUGAGCAGCCGGGAGGAAGCCCAUGCAGCCAGCCACCCAGCUCCCUCCACAUCGUGGCCCUAGAAUGGAGUCUUGAAGAAUAAGAAGCCACAGCUUGUCAGGGAAUCAGGCUGGAAAAAUGUUAUGAGACUGAGUAAGACCAGAG